CGAAGACACAUUUUGUUUCUGGACAAUAACUUUUGUUUAAGUGAAUGGAUCUCUAUAAUUUUUUACCAGAAGGUUCAAUACCACUAAAGGAAUGUUGGGAUUGAUUUUGGGGGUUCUGGUCCCAAUAAUAGUGUAGGAAUUAGUGGGCCAAAAAGGGGGCCCAAAAUAAGCUUUUUUGUAGUUUUCAAACAAUAACUUGUGUUUAAGUGUAUGAAUCUCUUUGAAAUUAUACCACAAGUUUCCAUAUCAUGAAGGGAUGGUUAGUAUUGACUUUGGGGGUUAUCGCUCAACAUUGUUUAGAAUUAGGGGAAAAAGGGGAAAAA
RNAcentral lists this long non-coding RNA (323 nucleotides) under Mytilus galloprovincialis (Mediterranean mussel). Lineage: Eukaryota; Metazoa; Mollusca; Bivalvia; Mytilida; Mytilidae. The record is from RNAcentral.